UGGGGAAUUUUGGACAAUGGGCGAAAGCCUGAUCCAGCAAUGCCGCGUGUGUGAAGAAGGCCUUCGGGUCGUAAAGCCCUUUCGUUGGGGACGAUGAUGACGGUACCCAAAGAAGAAGCCCCGGCUAACUUCGUGCCAGCAGCCGCGGUAAUACGAAGGGGGCUAGCGUUGCUCGGAAUGACUGGGCGUAAAGGGCGCGUAGGCGGCACAACUCGUCAGGCGUGAAAUUCCUGGGCUUAACCUGGGGGCUGCGUUUGAUACGGUUGGGCUAGAGGAUGGAAGAGGCUCGUGGAAUUCCCAGUGUAGAGGUGAAAUUCGUAGAUAUUGGGAAGAACACCGGUGGCGAAGGCGGCGAGCUGGUCCAUUACGGACGCUGAGGCGCGAAAGCGUGGGGAGCAAACAGGAUUAGAUACCCUGGUAGUCCACGCUGUAAACGAUGUGCGCUGGAUGUUGGGUAACUUAGUUACUCAGUGUCGUAGCUAACGCGAUAAGCGCACCGCCUGGGGAGUACGGCCGCAAGGUUA
RNAcentral lists this ribosomal RNA (524 nucleotides) under uncultured bacterium. RNAcentral's name for it is "bacterial SSU rRNA". It matches the Rfam family "Bacterial small subunit ribosomal RNA", at positions 355 to 896 of the family's 1533-position model. The record is from RNAcentral.